GACAGAGGGGGCAAACGUUGUUCGGAAUUACUGGGCGUAAAGCGUGCGCAGGCGGUUCGUUAUGUCCGAUGUGAAAGCCCCGAGCUCAACUUGGGAAUGGCAUUGGAAACUGGCGGGCUGGAGUGUGGCAGAGGGGGGUGGAAUUCCACGUGUAGCAGUGAAAUGCGUAGAGAUGUGGAGGAACACCGAUGGCGAAGGCAGCCCCCUGGGCCAACACUGACGCUCAGGCACGAAAGCGUGGGGAGCAAACAGG
Molecule: ribosomal RNA, 253 nt
Filed under: uncultured bacterium
Lineage: Bacteria
Description: partial 16S ribosomal RNA
Rfam family: Bacterial small subunit ribosomal RNA
Source: RNAcentral